AAAAAAUGUCGGUGGGGGUUGGGGGGUUUCAUUUUCUCUAUCAAGGUUAGACGAAUUUUACCCUUGACAAGGCGCACAAAUUUACUGUUGAGGAAAAAACAAAGAAGAAGACGAAGAAUUACUGCUACACCUGAGAACAGAAACCGAGCUAGAAAUGGCAGGUUUAUUGGCAUGGGCAGCAGAUGUAGUAGGAGGUGGGCAAAGCAAUGAAGAAGAUGACAACCCAAAUUCAAUCCCUUUAAUUUUCACUCCACAGCAAUAAUCUUACUUAAUAGAUUUGGAUCGAAAAGCCACUUCUCUUACUCGUACGAUCUACGGCUUAGACUCCCUCCUCCUGACAUCUCAGAGCGUCUUCCUCAUCUACAUGCUCAUUCCCUCGCCUCUAAUAACGCUCUUGCUCUUCAGCUUAAUGCCCACUUCGCCACCAAAGAACAGGCACAAUUAAGAGAAAUUACUCUGCAAGAAGAAAAUGCCGAGUAUGACAAGGCUAUCUCAGAUUAUGAGAAUAAGAUUCAGGCGAAGUCACAGGAAGCUGACCUUCUACGGAGCAAAUUGCAGGUUAGACAUAAUUCACAACUUUCUCGAGGGGAUCAUUAUAUACAACAACAACAUACCCAGGGAAUUUCCACAAGUCAGGUCUGGCGAAGUUAUAGUCCGCGCAGACCUUUACCACUACCCUGUGGAGGUAGAGAGGCUGUUUUCGAAAGUCCCUCGACUCAAGUGGGAGGGGAUUCUUUCAUGAUUUACAAAAAAUUUAGGACAUUGUCUGACAAAAACCCUAACGCAGAGUUAGAACAAGCACAGGCUGCAGCAGCCGGUGAGUCUGCGCAAUCAAAUGACUAUCUGAUUAAAAACGAUAGUGAAGCUCAAGAAGAUGAGGAAUCUGCAAAUUCUGCGUUGCUGCGGAAAUUAGAGGAGAAGAAGAAGGAACUGACAUUUUUGGAAGAAUCUGUGCAUGACCUGGAGAAAAAAUGGACAGAAGUGCAAGAUUAUGCACUCAAGCAUCCUUGCCCAGGUACCCAACGACUAACAUAUAUUUGCUAAUUUUGUGUGGUCAGACCUUAUAAUAUAUUUUGGUGUCUUAAAAUUUCUUUUCCUUGCUAAUCAAGAGACCGAUUUCUUUCACAUGUUUUCUUUUCGGCGCCUUAGAUGCAUCACAUUUCAUUCUGAACAGACGCGAACCCAGAAUUUGAAGUCUGUGGGUGCACCAGUGUUGUGAGUGCAUCAAUGUUGUCAAAAACGCGCAUAAGCCUCAAGACUCAAAAUGUGUUGAGCUCUCGCCUUACUUAAUGUGCAGCUUAGGUUCUAAUUUUUUAUACAU
Molecule: RNA transcript, 1321 nt
Organism: Capsicum annuum
Lineage: Eukaryota; Viridiplantae; Streptophyta; Magnoliopsida; Solanales; Solanaceae
Exons: 4
Source: RefSeq, a predicted model, not a curated record